UGGCACCUCCGGUGUCCGCGUUGUAAUCUCGAGACGUGUUUUCCGUGCGGCUCUAUGGACAAGUCCCUUGGAAUAGGGCAUCGUAGAGGGUGAGAAUCCCGUACUUGCCAUGGAAGAACCGUGCUUUGCGAUACACGCUCUAAGAGUCGAGUUGUUUGGGAUUGCAGCUCAAAAUGGGUGGUAGACUCCAUCUAAAGCUAAAUAUCGGGGAGAGACCGAUAGCGAACAAGUACCGUGAGGGAAAGAUGAAAAGCACUUUGGAAAGAGAGUUAAAAGUACGUGAAAUUGUCGAAAGGGAAGCACUUGAAGUCAGCCAUGCUGCUUGAGACUCAGCCUGGCCUUUGGGCUUGGUGUAUUUCUCGGUGGCAAGCCAGCAUUGGUUUGGGUCGUCGGAGAAGCGCAUAGGGAAUGUAGCGUUUCCGGACGUGUUAUAGCCUUAUGCAGGAUACGACGACGCUGGAUCAAGGAACGCAGUGUGCCCUCUGGGCGGGUCUUCG
This 497-nucleotide ribosomal RNA is filed under the name Malassezia globosa. Its description in RNAcentral is "eukaryotic LSU rRNA". It matches the Rfam family "Eukaryotic large subunit ribosomal RNA", at positions 123 to 622 of the family's 3401-position model. The record is from RNAcentral. Lineage: Eukaryota; Fungi; Basidiomycota; Malasseziomycetes; Malasseziales; Malasseziaceae.